RNAcentral lists this long non-coding RNA (224 nucleotides) under Lathyrus oleraceus (garden pea). RNAcentral describes it as "Pisum sativum (pea) long non-coding RNA (PSAT_LNC028615)". The record is from RNAcentral. Lineage: Eukaryota; Viridiplantae; Streptophyta; Magnoliopsida; Fabales; Fabaceae.
UUGGAGCUAAUCCCGAUUGACAUGAUGAAAUGCAAUGUAUCUAAUGUUAAAUGACCUAAAAAUGAAUGCGUGAAUAAGGAGGGCAAAUUUUGGGGUGUUACACCUAGGAGUACCUAGGAUACUUUGGGUGCUAACACCUUCCCUCUGUGUAACCAACCCCCUUACCUGUAAUCUCUGACAUUUUAUUAGUUUUGAUUUGAAAAAUUCUUACUUUUUUGGUUUUG